This 460-nucleotide long non-coding RNA is filed under the name Elaeis guineensis (African oil palm). Its description in RNAcentral is "long non-coding RNA (EGUI_LNC010586)". Lineage: Eukaryota; Viridiplantae; Streptophyta; Magnoliopsida; Arecales; Arecaceae. The record is from RNAcentral.
CGACAAUUCGAUAAUCAGAACUUCAAAAAUUCUAUGUGAAAUUCGAUAUUACAUACAAGCUCACAAUAGUCGGCCAUCCAUAAUCCAAUAAUAAGGUGAAAGUGACAAAUCGAACAAUCCUACAUGGUCUCAAGAUUAAACUGAAUGAAGCUAAAGACCUCUGGAUGGAAGAAUAGUAUCCGAUCUUAUGGGCAUAUCGAACAACUCGUAUAUCGAUGGGAGAGUCGCCAUUCAACUGGCCUAUGAAAUAGAAGCAAUGAUUUCACUUGAGAUUGGAUUACCAUCGACAAGAGUUGAAUAGUAUGAUGAGUCGAGUAAUUCAGAAUGUCGAAGAGCCAAUCUAGACUUACUUUUGAAAGUCCGACAGCAAGCUCAAGUUCGAAUGGCAGCAUAUCAGCAAAGAAUAGCUUGAUAUUAUAAUGACAAAAGUUAAACCGAAGGUCUUCCGUUCAGAAGAUCU